RNAcentral lists this ribosomal RNA (229 nucleotides) under uncultured bacterium. RNAcentral's name for it is "partial 16S ribosomal RNA". It matches the Rfam family "Bacterial small subunit ribosomal RNA", at positions 568 to 796 of the family's 1533-position model. The record is from RNAcentral.
CAUGUAGGCGGCAUGACAAGUCUGGUGUGAAAUAUCUCGGCUCAACCGAGAAAACGCACUGGAAACUGUCAAGCUUGAGUAUCGGAGGGGAAGCUAGAAUUCCUGGUGUAGGGGUGAAAUCUGUAGAUAUCAGGAAGAAUACCGGUGGCGAAGGCGAGCUUCUGGCCAGAUACUGACGCUGAGAUGCGAAAGCGUGGGGAUCAAACAGGAUUAGAUACCCUGGUAGUCC